GUAAUACUCCAUAGUUCGUUAUUACUGGAAUGUUUUUCGAACGAAAGAUCCGUCGCUUCAGGAUGAGUCUGCGGCCGAUUAGGUAGUUGUUGGGGUAAUUGCCCAACAAGCCUGUAAUCGGUACGGGUUGUGGGAGCAAGAGCCCGGAGAUGGAUUCUGAGACACGAAUCCAGGCCCUACGGGGCGCAGCAGGCGCGAAAACUUUACCAUGCGGGCAACCGUGAUAAGGAAACCCCGAGUGCCAGCACAGGCUGGCUGUCCGCCAGUUUAAACAACUGGCGAAGAAAGGGCCGGGCAAGACCGGUGCCAGCCGCCGCGGUAAUACCGGCGGCUCGAGUGGUGGCCGCUAUUACUGGGCUUAAAGGGUCCGUAGCUUGAUAAUAGGGUCCCUUGAGAAAUCCGCCGGCUUAACUGGCGGGCGUUCAGGGGAAACUUGUUUUCUAGGGACCGGGAGAGGUGAGGGGUACUGCCGGGGUAGGAGUGAAAUCCUGUAAUCCCGGUGGGACCACCUAUGGCGAAGGCAUCUCACCAGAACGGGUCCGACAGUGAGGGACGAAAGCUGGGGGAGCAAACCGGAUUAGAUACCCGGUAGUCCCAGCUGUAACUAUGUGCGUUAGGUGU
This 621-nucleotide ribosomal RNA is filed under the name uncultured archaeon. Its description in RNAcentral is "bacterial SSU rRNA". It matches the Rfam family "Archaeal small subunit ribosomal RNA", at positions 146 to 774 of the family's 1478-position model. The record is from RNAcentral.